RNAcentral lists this ribosomal RNA (494 nucleotides) under uncultured bacterium. RNAcentral's name for it is "partial 16S ribosomal RNA". It matches the Rfam family "Bacterial small subunit ribosomal RNA", at positions 28 to 507 of the family's 1533-position model. The record is from RNAcentral.
GACGAACGCUGGCGGCGUGCUUAACACAUGCAAGUCGAACGGAAAGGCCUGCUUUCCCUUGUGGAUUGCGGGUACUCGAGUGGCGAACGGGUGAGUAACACGUGAGUGAUCUGCCCCCAACUUGGGUAUAAGCCUGGGAAACUGGGUCUAAUUCCCGAUAGGACUGCAGGGUGGUGCCUGUGGUGGAAAACGAUUUUCUAGUGGUUGGGGAUGAGCUCGCGGCCUAUCAGCUUGUUGGUGGGGUAAUGGCCUACCAAGGCGGCGACGGGUAGCCGGCCUGGGAGGGUGGACGGCCACAUUGGGACUGAGAUACGGCCCAGACUCCUACGGGAGGCAGCAGUGGGGAAUAUUGCACAAUGGGCGGAAGCCUGAGGCAGCGACGCCGCGUGGGGGAUGACGGCCUUCGGGUUGUAAACUCCUUUCGACCGCGAGGAAGCCACCUGGUUGGAAGGGUGGUGACGGUAGUGGUAGAAGAAGCACCGGCUAACUACGUG